RNAcentral lists this transfer RNA (58 nucleotides) under Cricetulus griseus (Chinese hamster). It matches the Rfam family "tRNA", at positions 8 to 63 of the family's 71-position model. Rfam says of the family: Transfer RNA (tRNA) molecules are approximately 80 nucleotides in length. Their secondary structure includes four short double-helical elements and three loops (D, anti-codon, and T loops). The record is from Rfam by way of RNAcentral. Lineage: Eukaryota; Metazoa; Chordata; Mammalia; Rodentia; Cricetidae.
UAGCUCAGUCGGUAGAGCACGAGACUUUUAAUCUCAGGGUCGUGGGUUCGUGCCCCAC